Molecule: ribosomal RNA, 567 nt
Filed under: Clostridioides difficile
Lineage: Bacteria; Bacillati; Bacillota; Clostridia; Peptostreptococcales; Peptostreptococcaceae
Description: bacterial LSU rRNA
Rfam family: Bacterial large subunit ribosomal RNA
Source: RNAcentral
GGCAAAAGAGAGCUUGAUUGCAAGACAUACAGGUCGAGCAAGGAUGAAAAUCGGACUUAGUGAUCCGGUGGUUCUGCGUGGAAGGGCCAUCGCUCAACGGAUAAAAGCUACCCUGGGGAUAACAGGCUUAUCUCCCCCAAGAGUCCACAUCGACGGGGAGGUUUGGCACCUCGAUGUCGGCUCAUCACAUCCUGGGGCUGUAGUAGGUCCCAAGGGUUGGGCUGUUCGCCCAUUAAAGUGGUACGCGAGCUGGGUUCAGAACGUCGUGAGACAGUUCGGUCCCUAUCCGUCGCAGGCGUAGGAAAUUUGAGAAGACCUGUCCUUAGUACGAGAGGACCGGGAUGGACGUACCUCUGGUGUACCAGUUGUUCUGCCAAGGGCAUGGCUGGGUAGCUAUGUACGGAAUGGAUAAGCGCUGAAAGCAUCUAAGCGCGAAGCCAACUUCAAGAUAAGAUUUCCCACCGCAAGGGUAAGACCCCAGAAAGACUAACUGGUUGAUCGGUCGACGGUGUAAGUGCAGCAAGGUAUUUAGCUUAUCUAUACUAAUCGGUCUAGGACUUGACCCUG